CGGUUGAUCCUGCCGGACCCCACUGCUAUCGGGAUAGGACUAAGACAUGCAAGUCAAGCGCUUUCUAGCUAAUGUGAGAGCGCGGCGUACAGCUCAGUAACACGUGGCCAACCUGCCCUUGGGACGGGAACACCCCCGGGAAACUGGGGUUAAUUCCCGAUAGGUGAAGAAGUCUGGAAUGAAUCUUCGCUCAAAAGACGUUUAUGUCAUGCUCAUACUCGUCGCCCAGGGACGGGGCCGCGACCGAUCAGGUUGUUGGUGAGGUAAUGGCUCACCAAGCCUUUUACCGGUGCGGGCCGUGAGAGCGGGAGCCCGGAGAUGGGCACUGAGACAAAGGCCCAGGCCCCACGGGGCGCAGCAGUCGCGAAAACUUUGCAAUACACGAAAGUGUGACAGGGCUAUCCCGAGUGCCAUCCGCUGAGGAAGGCUUUUACCCAGUAUAAAUAGCUGGGAGAAUAAGGAGAGGGCAAGUCUGGUGUCAGCCGCCGCGGUAAUACCAGCUCUCCGAGUAGUGUGGAUGUUUAUUGGGCCUAAAGCAUCCGUAGCUUGCUAGAUAAGUCCCCUGUUAAAUCCACCGAUUUAAUCGUUGGAUUGCGGGGGAUACUGUUUGGCUAGGGGACGGGAGAGGUCGACGGUAUUUCCGGGGUAGGGGUGAAAUCCUAUAAUCCCGGGAGGANCACCAGUGGCGAAGGCUGUCGACUAGAACGCGCCCGACGGUGAGGGAUGAAAGCUGGGGGAGCGAACCGGAUUAGAUACCCGGGUAGUCCCAGCUGUAAACGAUGCNGCUAGGNNNUUGGGNCGGNCACGAGCCGCCCUANUGCCNCAG
RNAcentral lists this ribosomal RNA (826 nucleotides) under uncultured archaeon. Its description in RNAcentral is "bacterial SSU rRNA". It matches the Rfam family "Archaeal small subunit ribosomal RNA", at positions 5 to 806 of the family's 1478-position model. The record is from RNAcentral.